Neofelis nebulosa (Clouded leopard) is the source of this 4494-nucleotide long non-coding RNA. RefSeq lists it as uncharacterized. The record is from RefSeq and is a predicted model, not a curated record. Lineage: Eukaryota; Metazoa; Chordata; Mammalia; Carnivora; Felidae. The transcript is spliced from 2 exons.
UCUUAAAGACAUGGUGGUUUUUCAAGUUUUAUAAAGCAGAUAAUAAAUAAUGUCUUUUUGAUAUAAACCCUCCCUAUAGCAUUCACAAAGAACAUAUUUCACAUAAACAAUACUAAAAUAUACUAGCUAUCAAGUAUAUACUCUUAGGAAGUUCUAAAAUUAACUUCUUAUAAUUGGUUUUAUAAAUGUCUUUUAAACAUGACAAGCCCAUGUUAAUAGAAUUUCCUCAAAGACUAGAAAAAUGGCUACAGUAACUACCUAAUAAACAGUAUGUACAUAAGCUACGUAAGUCCUAGAACUAGGGUCAUUUUUAAUGCCACCUUAAAGAACAGGGAAAGUGUUAAUGCUCAAGUUUUUCGAUAAGAGCUAAUUACUGCAAGUUGUGCAGAAUAGGAACACUGCCUAAAAUUAGAGUACUCACAGAAUUUAAGAGCUUUCCUACAAUUCACUAAAAUACUUUCUUUUAAACUGCUCAAGACAAAUGUGUAUGGUUUUCAGAAUAAAACUAUGAAACUAAAAUUUUUGGUUUCAUUACACAGAAAACAAAGUAAUUUUAGUAAAACAAAAGCCACAGGAAGGAAGCAGACUUUUCGUACCUAUUGGAUUUGAAGGAAGAGAAUCAUCUUUUAGAUUUUCGUCCCAUUCACGGAGCUGUUUCUUAAUUCUAUCCAUUAAAGUUUCCUUGUUUAAAGUAAAAGCAGCCAUAAUAAGGUUCACAGACUUUUUACAAUUUACUGCCAGAUUUUCAGCUAGAGUUUCAAUGUAAGUUCUCACUCUAUGUACUAAAAUCCAAGUCCCGGUUUCAACUCUGUUGUCUCGCGCACAGAUGGUCAUGGCCCCGGCUCCUCCACCCGGCACUAAGGUGGCCUUCCAGGCUUCUGUCCUGCACUGUCUUUGUAGUGGCACGUGCUCCUGACCUGCUACCUUCUAGGUGUUUUCUUACGAACUGUGUGCAAUUGGCCUCUCCCCCCUUUUUCUAGGAAGGGUUUCCUGACUCUGUCCACAGGGAUAGCGGCCCCUAUAAAUUACAGGAGCACUUGCUAUUUACACCUUACUUGGCACCCAUUUAGUACACAAGAGUGCUUCCUGUCUUUUCACAGAUGUCUGCAAGAAACACUUGUCUGUUGUGCAUUUGUAAUGGCCCAAAGUGCUGAAGGGCAGAGUGAACUGUAGUUUGCUGUUGUGCUUGUGAGAAGUGCUCAAAUUUCAGUAUUUACCCUUCCUAAGAUUCCAAGUCUUAGGUGAGGGGGUUCACUAAGGGAAAUGACUAACAUUUGUUGAAUGCCUACUGUGUGCCAAAUAACUAUCACUCUCCCCAUUUUAAAAACUGAAUUUAUUGAGAUAGGUAAUGGUUUGCCUCAAACCAUAUGGAAAAUGAUAGAAAUCAAGCUUUUAAAAGUCUUUGUGUCUAAAACCCAGAUUCUUUGAACACUUCCAGUCUGCCUCUUACUAAGUCUUGCAAGGUAUGGUGAUGCCUAAGUACGACAAUUUGAGGAGAAAGAACACUGGUGGAUGCAGUAGACUAACUGGGGUCAGGAGACCUAAGUUCAUCUACUUGUUUAGGAAAAACAACAAAACACUGUUAUGGGAUUCUUUAAUUUUCGAAACCUACCUACCACUUAACACAUUUCAAAUCCUUAAUAGACCCUAAAACAUCUCAUUACCUUAUCCUGAAUUUAUAAGCCACUAGAAACUGGGAAAACGAAAAAUUCUAAAAAGGGGAAGUAAAUCCAGCAGAAUUUGAUUCCUUCGCAUUCUAAUUAAAUGUAAAGAAGGGCAUUAGUUCUGAAAAUGAGAUACCACUGAGUAUGAAAGUCCAUGUUUCAUUCUAAUGACCCUUUAUUAUGACAAGGCUUACCCUAGAGAUAAAAAAGUACAAGGUAAUACUUACAGCAUCAUAUAAGGAAUACAGCCAGCGAGGCCAUGAAGUCAAAUUUGCACAAUGAAACUUUCUCUGAAAACAGAAAAAAAGUCACUUAAACUCUAUAUAGAUUCUUAUGGUGGAAAGAACAGUAUUUGAAAACUGAUUUUGGCCCUGGAAAAUAUGUUCUAAAUUCAAAAAUAGGGAAAAAUUUUGUAGAUAACCCUAUUAACAGAUGAUUCAUUACCUACUAAAUGUGACAAUCAUGGUUUUACAGCUUUCAAUUUGUACUGCAAGUAGAAUCCUCAUUCUUACUGGGAUGGUUUAACAUUUUAAUGCUGAGGAUAACUUAGUGAAGUUAUGGUGAACUUGAAGAGUGACUAAACAUAGUUAUGUUACAGCAUAACAUAUCACAUUAUAUGCCUAUUAAUCAUUUGUUCAGUAUAUGCACAGGGAAACUAAAAAUAUAAUCCAAAUUGUCUUUGUGUAAAACUUUAAAUGGCUUUAAAGUGAAUUACUGUAGAGGCACAUAUAAUAAAUGAGUCCAUUCUAAGAAAAAAAAUGAUCAUAACUUGAGAGUCCAGGAUGAAGUCCCCCAUUUCAUAGAACUCCGGGAAAGGGAAAAACCACUGGGUAGCUCUUCCAAUUGUAUUUUAGAAUCCAAAUGCAAGCAUGCCUAAAUCCAUAGAAAAAUGUGAGUUAAAUUCCAGUAGAAUUUCUGUUUUUGAUGGGAAGACUCAAUAAUUAAAAUGUGAGUCCUCAAAGCACAUAUUCAGCGUAAUAAUACCAAUGAGAUUGGAAUUUAGAAGCAUAACUUAAAGUUCACCUGGAAGAAGAAGUGUGUAAGAACUCCCAAAAAAGUUUGGGAAGAGAAGUAUUCUACAGGACACAAAAAUAUGAUUGGGAAUGCACUAUAGCAGUGCUAUUAAUAGGAACAAAUUGUAAACAACCUAAAUGUCAACGAACAAUGAGUACAUUAGAGUAUGUAAUACACUAGGGGAUACUUUGCACCUGAUCAAACAAGGCAUAUCAAACCUACAGAGCAUAAAGAAUGAUUACAUCUUCCUCAAUAAAGAAAACAAAACCUAUGUAAGUACAGACAUUCAUAAUUUUGUAAACUUAACGUGGGGCAUGACACAUGAAAAGUGGGUGGGAAAGGAGUAAGGUGGCUCAAAAAGCACUGUCCCAGAAUAGAACAAGAAAAGCAAGCUGUAAGAUUUAACAGAAUGAAAGGGAAAUCCUGUGCUUGCACCUGCAUGACCAAACGAAUGGGCAUGAAAUGAGGAAACAUGGGUACACCACACAUGUGAAAAAGACUUGGGGGACUCAGCUGAUAGAUGAACUAACCAAUGUGCUGCAGAGCUCACAUCCUACUCUCCCUGCAAUCUUAUGCUAGAAGAUGUCCAGAAUCUAAGAAGAGACAAUAAUGUUACCCUUCUGUGACAGACAGAACUUUAAUUGUCAGGGGCAAGGAUGCUAAGAGGAGGUCAACAGUUUGCAUUAGGGAUGUUUAGUUUGGAGCUGCCUCUCAAGGGGACGUGGUAAUUUCUUUUAAAUACUUUAGGGAACUACUACGUGGGUGAGGAUGGACUUGUUUCUCAAGGCUCAUCCACUAAAGCUCAAACUCAAACCAAUGGAUUCUUUAAUGAGAGGAAGUUUCGGCUCAAUCUCAUCUUUCUUAUAUUUGAAUCUACCAAAAGACAGGUCUGGGAUGGCCUCCAAGUACAUGUUCAAAAAGUGAUUUAAGCCAGAGGAGCCAGAUUGUAAGGCACUUAAGUUACUCUCCAAUCAGUUCUUUACUUUUAAGACCAAAAACUAAGGCUAAAGAAUUUUGUCACACUCCAAAUAAAUGCUACAGAAUAAGCACACAGAAUAAAGAACAACAGCCUUUCAAGUAACUGUGAAUAUGUAGUAAUAGCAAUGGCAACCACUUUAUUGGUCUUAAAAUAAAAAUAAUUCUUUAAGGUUGGUAGUAUUAUCAUCCCCAUCUGAAAAAGAAGGAAACAGGCAAAGAAGGAUGGUAAAACUUGCCCAAAGUCACAGUAAAUGGGGAGCUGCUAGGCUGUGCAUCCAGGGAGUCUGACUGUAACCAUUAUUCAUUCAAGAAAUAUUCUGAGCACCCAGUACGUAGGUGUCAGGCAUUAUCUUUACACACUGGGAGUAUACAUACCAGUGACUAAAACAAAAAAAGGCCAAAAUCAUUGGAGCAUACAUUUUCUUGCAGAGCAGCUUACUUUCUAGCAGUAUACUUAGAAUUACAAAGUGACAAAAAUCCAACAAAGCUUCGGUCUGGCAGACUGACACACUACACACUCCCAAUUCAGUUAUUAGUAUAUACUUUACACAUCAGAAUGAUCAUUUUUAUAUUACAAAAGCAUAGCAUUUUACUUGGCAUCCAUGUCAAGAUAAAGAGAAACCAAAGUAAUUUAUUCAUAUUGUAAACAUGACUUCCCACUGUAACAGAGAACAGAAUGUGGCACACUAGUGUAUUAAGAGCAAUGCAGCGGGUCAGGAUCCUUACCAUUCGCCCGCCACCCUGCAUCCUUUGUGAAUGUGAACACACUGCAACUCAUGCGCCCCAGUUCUGUAACUUUUUAAAGUGAGAACAUCAAUAAAAUUCUUUUUCAGGGUUA